CCUGUCCCUAGAGGCUUUCUAGGUGUGACGGCUAUGUCACAUGUGUAUCAGUGGGUAGCAGAGAGGAGAGAGGUUCAGUGUUCUGACCUGUGAACACCUGAACGAUACAAC
This 111-nucleotide small nucleolar RNA is filed under the name Meriones unguiculatus (Mongolian gerbil). RNAcentral's name for it is "Small nucleolar RNA SNORA17 (ENSMUGG00000021702.1)". It matches the Rfam family "Small nucleolar RNA SNORA17". Rfam says of the family: snoRNA ACA 17 belongs to the H/ACA family of snoRNAs and is predicted to guide pseudouridylation of the 28S rRNA at positions U4659 and U4598. It shares the same host gene together with ACA43. Lineage: Eukaryota; Metazoa; Chordata; Mammalia; Rodentia; Muridae. The record is from RNAcentral.